GUGCUCUCUUCCCCAGCACAUAUACUGAAACGGGAAUGAUGCAGCGAAGAUUAGCAUGGCUCCUGCACAAGGAUGACACGCAAACUUGUGAAGUGUUCAUAUUUUUC
Small nuclear RNA from Bubalus bubalis (water buffalo), 107 nucleotides. The record is from RefSeq and is a predicted model, not a curated record. Lineage: Eukaryota; Metazoa; Chordata; Mammalia; Artiodactyla; Bovidae.